GAGUCACGUAUGAAUAAUACGUGGCGAACGGCUCAGUAACACGUAGUCAACAUACCCAAAGGACGUGGAUAACCUCGGGAAACUGAGGAUAAACCGCGAUAGGUCAUAAGUACUGGAAUGUUUUAUGGCUCAAAUCUACAUGGCCUCUGGGUUGGACUGCGGCCGAUCAGGCUGUUGGUGAGGUAAUGGCCCACCAAACCUGUUACCGGUACGGGCUCUGAGAGGAGGAGCCCGGAGAUGGGCACUGAGACAAGGGCCCAGGCCCUAUGGGGCGCAGCAGGCGCGAAACCUCUGCAAUAGGCGAAAGCUUGACAGGGUUACUCUGAGUGAUUCCCGCUAAGGGAAUCUUCUGGCAUCUCUAAAAACGAUGCAGAAUAAGGGGUGGGCAAGUCUGGUGUCAGCCGCCGCGGUAAUACCAGCACCCCGAGUGGUCGGGACGAUUAUUGGGCCUAAAGCAUCCGUAGCCGGUCUUGCAAGUCUUCCGUUAAAUCCACCUGCUUAACAAAUGGGCUGCGGAAGAUACUACAAGACUAGGAGGCGGGAGAGGCAAGCGGUACUCAGUGGGUAGGGGUAAAAUCCUCUGAUCCAUUGAAGACCACCAGUGGCGAAGGCGGCUUGCCAGAACGCGCUCGACGGUGAGGGAUGAAAGCUGGGGGAGCAAACCGGAUUAGAUACCCGGGUAGUCCCAGCUGUAAACGAUGCAGACUCGGUGAUGGGCCGGCUUCAUGCCGGCUCAGUGCCGCAGGGAAGCCGUUAAGUCUGCCGCCUGGGGAGUACGGUCGCAAGACUGAA
RNAcentral lists this ribosomal RNA (792 nucleotides) under uncultured archaeon. Its description in RNAcentral is "bacterial SSU rRNA". It matches the Rfam family "Archaeal small subunit ribosomal RNA", at positions 55 to 853 of the family's 1478-position model. The record is from RNAcentral.